Esox lucius (northern pike) is the source of this 2795-nucleotide long non-coding RNA. Lineage: Eukaryota; Metazoa; Chordata; Actinopteri; Esociformes; Esocidae. The record is from Ensembl.
AUUUCUUUUGUAGCAUCCUUGUUCAGCAGCUUAACUGUUUAUUUCAUAUUAUAAAUAUACUUUUACAAUCACUGGAACAUUUUACGAAAAUAAGCUUAAAAGGACAGUUCACCUUUACUCAAAAAGUAGUGCAAUGGUAUUUUCCAUAGUUUUUUAAUGAUGACUUUUGAAUAUUUGGUUGCACAUUAAAAUAUAUAUUCUUUUAAAUCAAAAUGUAUAAUUUGGACCAGUUUUUGUGCACCUCUAUGGUUGUAAAAAAUACAUGUUUUCUAGACAUCAGACACCAAGUAAGGCAUGCAUUCAUCAAAUGAUCUCAGAGCUAUAGUUAUUCUUAUAGUAAAACUCAAAUCUUUAACUGCUUUAUAGAAAUGUACCAUACUCACAUCUUUCUAUAUUUUGUUUUGUACAUUGUGCACUGUUGGAAUUCAAGUUAUCUUAUUAAAUAAAAGCUUGUUAUGGAUACAGCUGCUUUAGAUAUCUUUUUUCAGCAGGAGUGAUUAUGCUAAAGCAUGGUUUCCACGUUUACUUUUUACUUUUAUGUAGCCUGUCAAUCAACCUGAGAGGUUUCACAAAGACUGCCAAAAUUUAGCUGCACUGACCUUUGAACAAGCUUUUAUGCAUUCUGCCCAUGAGUAAUGGAAACAUACUCAGAGGUCAUGGAACAAUGGUCCAUUCAUAGCAACCCUAGACAUUCUUUCAAGCGUUUUACAUUUUGAAAAUACUCUAGAAUAAAACGUUCAAAAUAAAACCAAUUUCUUCAAGGGAGAAACCUCGCAAUAAUCCUUCCCUCGCACUCAUUAUGUCAACACAUCAUCCAACACAGAAAUUAUAAAUAAAUAACAUUCAUAUUUAUGCUGCACCUGGGCACAGGUGUAAGACAUUCAAAGCAGAGAUAUUUCCCUUUGUUCUCUACUAUACAUAGAGCAAAAUGCCUAAAGCAGUGUUAAAAUCACAAAUAAGAUUCAACAAAAGAGAAAAAAACCAAAGGCUGGUUAAUUGCAGGUGUGUGAUUAAGAUGAUUAGAAGCACAAAUGCACCGUCCUCAGGCCCCUUGACAUCUGCCAAACAGAGGGUAACUGUGGGUUGUUUCGGAAGCACGUGGGGAGGACGGUAACACUUCAUUUUAAGGUUCUGUACCAAAACAUUGAUAAGGCAUUAAUAAUGUGUGUGUUCACCAUGUAUUAAUCAUUACUCACGCAUUCAGAAACUAUUUAUGAAUAAAAAGCAAUGCAUAUUUGUUGCCCCUAACCUAAAGUUAGCACUAUUUAUCCUCCAAAAAAAACCGAAAUAAAUAAAUACUUAUCACAGAAAGAUGGGCAUAACAUUGUUUAGAAAUUCCAGCUGUACCUACUCAAAGAAUAUGCAUACCACACAGGAUUUUAUGGGAGUAUAUACACAUUUGUACAUAACCAGAUUGCUAAUGUGUACAAAUGUUCAGGAUAGUGAUUCAUAAACGGUAAAUGCCUUAUAAAUGGUUUAUUAUAAACCAUUUGAAAUGAGGUGUCACCGAAUCCUGUGCAGCAGUGUUGUGGCUAGAAUGGAACGCUGCCAUGAGGAGAGGGCGAGGAGACGAGGGGAAACGGGAAGGCCAAACAGACUCAGCUCUUCUUCUGCUCUUCUGCACGCAAGCGGCAGCCCACGGCAGUGAUGAGGGCGGCCCCCUUUCCACUCCCGUCCUCAGACAGAAGGAAAUUGACGUUGCACUUAGGGGCCAGCUCUUUCACUGUCUGGUGCAUGAUCCUCGAAAAGCUGUGACGGGACAGAACACGGUAAGAAGGUUCCCUCAAACACUCGACUUUGUUCAUGAAACUGCUGAAAAUGUAAAUCACUGAAGCUAUUCAAAUAUAGGGCUUGAUCAAAGAGAACGGAGACUAGAGGAGGAAUGUGUACUAUGAUAAAAGUGCAAUAAACUACACAGUCAGUGCAGGCCCAUACUCAACAUUGCUCUUUCUCAUUGUCAACCUGAGGUACAUUUCAUUUCGACCAAUUACAAUCCCAGCAUUAUUACUCACUGUGGAUGCAGUUUGUAGAGUGUUCCGUCCACCCCCACGGUGAUGUUCAUUUGGUUCAGCCCGCGGUUCUCCCGGAUUUUGUCGACGACAGCGGCCAUUCCGGCCCCACAGAGCUGAGCCGCCCGGCGAGACACGACGCCACACACCUCCUUGACGAUGAUGCUGUCGUCACACGUGCUGUCCAGACCCAGGUGCUGCAGGAUGGACCUCACCUGAAGCAGUGCCAAUCUGUCGCUGUGGGCAACAUGAAGACAUUUUGUUGACAACGUGGCACAAAAACGGUAGCCAGGGACAGCACGAACAUAAAUAAUUUUAAUAGCAAAUUUAUUACGGGCGCCAACCUUUCAAUCUGGGAGAGGAACUUAGUUUCGAAAAUGCCUCUGGUCUUCAGAGUCUCUGAUAUCUGCCCUCUGAAGAGGAAGCCCCGCUUCGUCAACGUGAUCAGGAUGUUUCGCACAAUCUCCCCUAGAUACAUACCGCUGCACAUCUUCUCUCACCUUUGCUUGCCAGGGUUGAGUGAAAACUCAUCCACAAAUCUGUCAAAUUCUGUCCUGAUGUCGUCCAGGCACCCGUUGUCCCCAAAUGCCCCCCACUCCAUGUUGACACACAUCCUGCCCUCGUCUCCCUCCACCGUCUCAACGUUCCUCAUCUCCUCCAUGUAACAGGCAUUGCUGCCAGUUCCUGAAACCGGAAAUAAUAGUGUUCAUCAAUUUUACCGUUGGAAUAUAGUAAUAAAUAUGUUUUGUUUUUCACUGUUACUUUUGCAAGUUAUUUCACUUUUUC